This 1003-nucleotide ribosomal RNA is filed under the name Pediococcus acidilactici. RNAcentral's name for it is "bacterial SSU rRNA". It matches the Rfam family "Bacterial small subunit ribosomal RNA", at positions 439 to 1435 of the family's 1533-position model. The record is from RNAcentral. Lineage: Bacteria; Bacillati; Bacillota; Bacilli; Lactobacillales; Lactobacillaceae.
UUAAAGAAGAACGUGGGUGAGAGUAACUGUUCACCCAGUGACGGUAUUUAACCAGAAAGCCACGGCUAACUACGUGCCAGCAGCCGCGGUAAUACGUAGGUGGCAAGCGUUAUCCGGAUUUAUUGGGCGUAAAGCGAGCGCAGGCGGUCUUUUAAGUCUAAUGUGAAAGCCUUCGGCUCAACCGAAGAAGUGCAUUGGAAACUGGGAGACUUGAGUGCAGAAGAGGACAGUGGAACUCCAUGUGUAGCGGUGAAAUGCGUAGAUAUAUGGAAGAACACCAGUGGCGAAGGCGGCUGUCUGGUCUGUAACUGACGCUGAGGCUCGAAAGCAUGGGUAGCGAACAGGAUUAGAUACCCUGGUAGUCCAUGCCGUAAACGAUGAUUACUAAGUGUUGGAGGGUUUCCGCCCUUCAGUGCUGCAGCUAACGCAUUAAGUAAUCCGCCUGGGGAGUACGACCGCAAGGUUGAAACUCAAAAGAAUUGACGGGGGCCCGCACAAGCGGUGGAGCAUGUGGUUUAAUUCGAAGCUACGCGAAGAACCUUACCAGGUCUUGACAUCUUCUGCCAACCUAAGAGAUUAGGCGUUCCCUUCGGGGACAGAAUGACAGGUGGUGCAUGGUUGUCGUCAGCUCGUGUCGUGAGAUGUUGGGUUAAGUCCCGCAACGAGCGCAACCCUUAUUACUAGUUGCCAGCAUUCAGUUGGGCACUCUAGUGAGACUGCCGGUGACAAACCGGAGGAAGGUGGGGACGACGUCAAAUCAUCAUGCCCCUUAUGACCUGGGCUACACACGUGCUACAAUGGAUGGUACAACGAGUCGCGAAACCGCGAGGUUUAGCUAAUCUCUUAAAACCAUUCUCAGUUCGGACUGUAGGCUGCAACUCGCCUACACGAAGUCGGAAUCGCUAGUAAUCGCGGAUCAGCAUGCCGCGGUGAAUACGUUCCCGGGCCUUGUACACACCGCCCGUCACACCAUGAGAGUUUGUAACACCCAAAGCCGGUGGGG